CGCUGGCGGCAGGCCUAACACAUGCAAGUCGAACGAACUCUUCGGAGUUAGUGGCGGACGGGUGAGUAACACGUGGGAACGUGCCUUUAGGUUCGGAAUAACUCAGGGAAACUUGUGCUAAUACCGAAUGUGCCCUUCGGGGAAAGAUUAUCGCCUUUAGAGCGGCCCGCGUCUGAUUAGCUAGUUGGUGAGGUAAAAGGCUCACCAAGGCGACGAUCAGUAGCUGGUCUGAGAGGAUGAUCAGCCACAUUGGGACUGAGACACGGCCCAAACUCCUACGGGAGGCAGCAGUGGGGAAUCUUGCGCAAUGGGCGAAAGCCUGACGCAGCCAUGCCGCGUGAAUGAUGAAGGUCUUAGGAUUGUAAAAUUCUUUCACCGGGGACGAUAAUGACGGUACCCGGAGAAGAAGCCCCGGCUAACUUCGUG
Molecule: ribosomal RNA, 426 nt
Filed under: uncultured bacterium
Lineage: Bacteria
Description: bacterial SSU rRNA
Rfam family: Bacterial small subunit ribosomal RNA
Source: RNAcentral